This 789-nucleotide ribosomal RNA is filed under the name uncultured Bacteroidota bacterium. Its description in RNAcentral is "bacterial SSU rRNA". It matches the Rfam family "Bacterial small subunit ribosomal RNA", at positions 73 to 840 of the family's 1533-position model. The record is from RNAcentral. Lineage: Bacteria; Pseudomonadati; Bacteroidota.
GGCCCCUUCGGGGGCCGAGUAGAGUGGCGCACGGGUGAGUAACACGUAGGUAAUCUACCUCUGGGUGGGGAAUAACGACCGGAAACGGUCGCUAAUACCGCAUAAUGCAGCGGCACCACAUGGUGACAGUUGUUAAAGCGGGGGAUCGUAAGACCUCGCGCCUAGAGAUGAGCCUGCGGCGGAUUAGCUAGUUGGCAGGGUAACGGCCUACCAAGGCGACGAUCCGUAGCCGGCCUGAGAGGGCGGACGGCCACACUGGCACUGACAUACGGGCCAGACUCCUACGGGAGGCAGCAGUCGGGAAUUUUGGGCAAUGGGCGAAAGCCUGACCCAGCAACGCCGCGUGAAGGAUGAAGCUUUUCGGAGUGUAAACUUCAUAAGAAUGGGACGAAUAAGGAGGGGUUAACACCCCCUUUGAUGACGGUACCAUUUGUAAGCUCCGGCUAACUCCGUGCCAGCAGCCGCGGUAAUACGGGGGGAGCAAGCGUUGUUCGGAUUUACUGGGCGUAAAGGGCGCGUAGGCGGCGCAACAAGUCACUUGUGAAAUCUCCGGGCUUAACCCGGAGCGGCCAAGUGAUACUGUCGUGCUAGAGUGCGGAAGGGGCUACUGGAAUUCUCGGUGUAGCGGUGAAAUGCGUAGAUAUCGAGAGGAACACCUGCGGCGAAGGCGGGUAGCUGGGCCGACACUGACGCUGAGGCGCGAAAGCCAGGGGAGCGAACGGGAUUAGAUACCCCGGUAGUCCUGGCCUUAAACGAUGGAUGCUUGGUGUCCGGGGUUACAUAGUCCCC